UGAGACGAGACGCUAAGGCGUUGAAGCAGUGUACGUCAGACUUCCAAGAAAAGCUCGCAAUGUCAUAAAUGAAAAAUGCCUGUACCAUAACCGACACAGGUGGGUAGGUAGAGUAUACUAAGGGGCGCGAGAUAACUCUCUCUAAGGAACUCGGCAAAAUGACUCCGUAACUUCGGGAGAAGGAGUGCCUUAUUUAUAAGGUUGCAAUAACAAGAUCCAAGCAACUGUUUAUCAAAAACACAGGUCUCCGCUAAGUCGUAAGACGAUGUAUGGGGGCUGACGCCUGCCCAGUGCCAGAAGGUUAAAGAAGUUGGUUAGUGUAUGCGAAGCUGAUGACUGAAGCCCUGGUGAACGGCGGCCGUAACAAUAACGGUCCUAAGGUAGCGAAAUUCCUUGUCGGGUAAGUUCCGACCCGCACGAAAGGCGUAAUGAUUUGGAUACUGUCUCGGAGAGAGGCUCGGUGAAAUAGACUUGUCUGUGAAGAUGCGGACUACCUGCACCAGGACAGAAAGACCCUAUGAAGCUUUACUGUAACUUGAAAUUGGAAUUGGACUUUGCUUGCGCAGUAUAGGUGGGAAGCGUUGAAGAUAUUCUUGCGGGAGUAUUGGAGCUAUCAGUGAGAUACCACUCUUGUAAUGUUAGAUUUCUAACUUUGAACCAUAAUCUGGUCAAAGAACAGUUUCAGGUGGGCAGUUUGACUGGGGCGGUCGCCUCCCAAAUGGUAACGGAGGCGUACAAAGGUUUCCUCUGAACGGAUAGAAAUCGUAUCUAGAGUGUAAAGGCAUAAGGAAGCUUGACUGUGAGACCUACAAGUCGAGCAGGGACGAAAGUCGGUCUUAGUGAUCUGACGGUACUGAGUGGAAAGGCCGUCACUCAACGGAUAAAAGUUACUCUAGGAUAACAGGCUGAUCUCCCCCAAGAGUUCACAUCGACGGGGAGGUUUGGCACCUCGAUGUCGGCUCAUCGCAUCCUGGGGCGGUAGUACGUCCCAAGGGUUGGGCUGUUCGCCCAUGAAAGCGGUACGCGAGCUGGGUUCAGAACGUCGUGAGACAGUUCGGUCCAUAUCCGGUGUAGGCGUUAGAAUAUUGAGAGGAGCCUUCUUUAGUACGAGAGGACCGAGAAGGACACACCGCUGGUGUACCAGUUAUCGUGCCAACGGUAAACGCUGGGUAGCUAUGUGUGGAGUGGAUAACCGCUGAAAGCAUCUAAGUGGGAAGCCCACCUCAAGAUGAG
Molecule: ribosomal RNA, 1233 nt
Filed under: metagenome
Description: bacterial LSU rRNA
Rfam family: Bacterial large subunit ribosomal RNA
Source: RNAcentral